This 451-nucleotide ribosomal RNA is filed under the name uncultured Geobacillus sp. RNAcentral's name for it is "bacterial SSU rRNA". It matches the Rfam family "Bacterial small subunit ribosomal RNA", at positions 925 to 1382 of the family's 1533-position model. Lineage: Bacteria; Bacillati; Bacillota; Bacilli; Caryophanales; Anoxybacillaceae. The record is from RNAcentral.
ACAAGCGGUGGAGCAUGUGGUUAAUUCGAAGCAACGCGAAGAACCUUACCAGGUCUUGACAUCCCCUGACAACCAAGAGAUUGGCGUCCCUUCGGGGGACAGGGUGACAGGUGGUGCAUGGUUGUCGUCAGCUCGUGUCGUGAGAUGUUGGGUUAAGUCCCGCAACGAGCGCAACCCUCGCCUCUAGUUGCCAGCAUUCGGUUGGGCACUCUAGAGGGACUGCCGGCGACAAGUCGGAGGAAGUGGGAUGACGUCAAAUCAUCAUGCCCCUUAUGACCUGGGCUACACACGUGCUACAAUGGGCGGUACAAAGGGCUGCGAACCCGCGAGGGGGAGCGAAUCCCAAAAAGCCGCUCUCAGUUCGGAUUGCAGGCUGCAACUCGCCUGCAUGAAGCCGGAAUCGCUAGUAAUCGCGGAUCAGCAUGCCGCGGUGAAUACGUUCCCGGGCCUU